GUAUUACAUUUAUUUAUGUGUCCAACAUUUUUCAGUCAAUUGUCAAUGAUACCGUCCGUUCCAAUCCGCAUCGGAAGGGAACAAUAGAAAAGUUGGGACAAAAAUGGAGCCAUAGUACCAACCACAAGUGGUGGACUAGUGCACAUUCAAUAAUGAUCCUUCCGCAGGUUCACCUACGGAAA
Molecule: unclassified non-coding RNA, 182 nt
Filed under: uncultured fungus
Lineage: Eukaryota; Fungi
Description: sequence contains ITS1
Source: RNAcentral